Molecule: ribosomal RNA, 287 nt
Filed under: Phytoplasma sp. IS3305
Lineage: Bacteria; Bacillati; Mycoplasmatota; Mollicutes; Acholeplasmatales; Acholeplasmataceae
Description: partial 16S ribosomal RNA
Rfam family: Bacterial small subunit ribosomal RNA
Source: RNAcentral
GCUAAGACUGGAUAUGAAGUUUUGAGGCAUCUCGAAACUUUUAAAAGACCCGCAAGGGUAUGCUGAGAGAUGGGCUUGCGGCACAUUAGUUAGUUGGUAAGGUAAUGGCUUACCAAGACUAUGAUGUGUAGCUGGACUGAGAGGUUGAACGGCCACAUUGGGACUGAGAUACGGCCCAAACUCCUACGGGAGGCAGCAGUAAGGAAUUUACGGCAAUGGAGGAAACUCUGACCGAGCAACGCCGCGUGAACGAUGAAGUAUUAAGGUACGUAAAGUUCUUUUAUUAA